This 589-nucleotide ribosomal RNA is filed under the name Williopsis saturnus. Its description in RNAcentral is "eukaryotic LSU rRNA". It matches the Rfam family "Eukaryotic large subunit ribosomal RNA", at positions 47 to 648 of the family's 3401-position model. Lineage: Eukaryota; Fungi; Ascomycota; Saccharomycetes; Phaffomycetales; Wickerhamomycetaceae. The record is from RNAcentral.
UAAGCGGAGGAAAAGAAACCAACAGGGAUUGCCUCAGUAACGGCGAGUGAAGCGGCAAAAGCUCAAAUUUGAAAUCUGGUACCUUUGGUGCCCGAGUUGUAAUUUGAAGAUAGUUUUCUGGUGCUGGCCCUUGUCUAUGUUCCUUGGAACAGGACGUCACAGAGGGUGAGAAUCCCGUCUGGCGGGGUGUCCAGUGCUUUGUAGAUUUCUAUCGACGAGUCGAGUUGUUUGGGAAUGCAGCUCUAAGUGGGUGGUAAAUUCCAUCUAAAGCUAAAUAUUGGCGAGAGACCGAUAGCGAACAAGUACAGUGAUGGAAAGAUGAAAAGAACUUUGAAAAGAGAGUGAAAAAGUACGUGAAAUUGUUGAAAGGGAAGGGUAUUAGAUCAGACUUGGUGUUUUGUGAUUAUCUUCCCUUCUUGGGUUGUGCACUCGCAUUUCACUGGGCCAGCAUCGGUUCGGGUGGUAAGAUAAUGACAUUGGAACGUGGCACUGCCUUCGGGUGGUGUGUUAUAGCCCUUGUUGAUGUUGCCUACCUGGACCGAGGACUGCGGCUUUUGCCUAGGAUGCUGGCGUAAUGAUCUAACACCGC